RNAcentral lists this ribosomal RNA (463 nucleotides) under uncultured bacterium. RNAcentral describes it as "partial 16S ribosomal RNA". It matches the Rfam family "Bacterial small subunit ribosomal RNA", at positions 28 to 505 of the family's 1533-position model. The record is from RNAcentral.
GACGAACGCUGGCGGCGUGCUUAACACAUGCAAGUCGAACGGUAAGGCUCCAGCUUGCUGGGGUACACGAGUGGCGAACGGGUGAGUAACACGUGGGUGACCUGCCCUGCACUUCGGGAUAAGCCUGGGAAACUGGGUCUAAUACCGGAUAGGACCGCACCGUGAGGGUGUGGUGGAAAGUUUUUUCGGUGUGGGAUGGGCCCGCGGCCUAUCAGCUUGUUGGUGGGGUAAUGGCCUACCAAGGCGGCGACGGGUAGCCGGCCUGAGAGGGUGGACGGCCAAAUGGGGAGUGAGACACGCCCCAGACUCCUAGGGGGGGCAGCAGGGGGAAAUAUUGCAAAAGGGGGGGAAGCCUGAUGCAGGGACCCCGGGGGGGGGAUGGCGCCCUUGGGGUUGAAAACUCCUUUCCCCAUCGAGGAAGGGUUUCGGGCGGUAGAGGGAGAAGAGGCCCCGGCAAACUACG